GAUCAUGGCUCAGGAUGAACGCUGGCGGCGUGCCUAAUACAUGCAAGUCGAACGCUUCACUUCGGUGAAGAGUGGCGAACGGGUGAGUAAUACAUAAGUAACCUGGCAUCUACAGGGGGAUAACUGAUGGAAACGUCAGCUAAGACCGCAUAGGUGUAGAGAUCGCAUGAACUCUAUAUGGAAAGUUGCUACGGGACUGGUAGAUGAUGGACUUAUGGCGCA
RNAcentral lists this ribosomal RNA (222 nucleotides) under uncultured bacterium. Its description in RNAcentral is "partial 16S ribosomal RNA". It matches the Rfam family "Bacterial small subunit ribosomal RNA", at positions 15 to 240 of the family's 1533-position model. The record is from RNAcentral.